UACGAAGGGGGCUAGCGUUGCUCGGAAUCACUGGGCGUAAAGGGUGCGUAGGCGGGUCUUAAGUGAGGGGUGAAAUCCUGGAGCUCAACUCCAGAACUGCCUUUCAUACUGGCAAUCUAGAGUCCGGAAGAGGUAAGUGGAACUCCUAGUGUAGAGGUGGAAUUCGUAGAUAUUAGGAAGAACACCAGUGGCGAAGGCGGCUUACUGGUCCGGUACUGACGCUGAGGUGCGAAAGCGUGGGGAGCAAACAGG
RNAcentral lists this ribosomal RNA (252 nucleotides) under uncultured bacterium. RNAcentral's name for it is "partial 16S ribosomal RNA". It matches the Rfam family "Bacterial small subunit ribosomal RNA", at positions 524 to 776 of the family's 1533-position model. The record is from RNAcentral.